CCAGCAGCUGCGGUAAUUCCAGCUCCAAUAGCGUAUAUUAAAGUUGUUGCAGUUAAAAAGCUCGUAGUUGGAUUUUGGGCUCGGCGGAGCCCGGUCUGCCUAAACAAGGUGUGUACUGGUUCCGCCGAGUCUUCCUUCCGAGACCACGUUCUGCUCUUAACUGAGUGGAGCGCUGGUGUCGGAACGUUUACUUUGAAAAAAUUAGAGUGUUCAAAGCAGGCCAUUUGCGCCUUGAAUACAUUAGCAUGGGAUAAUGGAAUAGGACCCCGCUCCUGUUUCGUUGGCUUCGGGGCGCGGGGUAAUGAUUAAUAGAGAUAGUUGGGGGUAUUCAUAUUUAAUUGUCAGAGGUG
This 350-nucleotide ribosomal RNA is filed under the name uncultured eukaryote. RNAcentral's name for it is "SSU rRNA". It matches the Rfam family "Eukaryotic small subunit ribosomal RNA", at positions 567 to 913 of the family's 1831-position model. The record is from RNAcentral.